AAAAAAUUAGAGUGUUCAAAGCAGGCAGAUCCAAUUUUCUGCCACCGAAUACAUUAGCAUGGGAUAAUGGAAUAGGACCCUGUCCUCCUAUUUUCAGUUGGUUUGCCGCGAGGACCAGGGUAAUGAUUAAUAGGGAUAGUUGGGGGCAUUAAUAUUUAAUUGUCAGAGGUGAAAUUCUUGGAUUUAUGAAAGAUUAACUUCUGCGAAAGCAUCUGCCAAGGAUGUUUUCAUUAAUCAAGAACGAAAGUUAGGGGAUCGAAGACAAUCAGAUACCGUCGUAUUCUUAACCAUAAACGAUGCCGACCAGGGAUUAGGAGACGUUGAAUACAAAACACCACCAU
Molecule: ribosomal RNA, 341 nt
Filed under: Acanthamoeba griffini
Lineage: Eukaryota; Discosea; Longamoebia; Acanthamoebidae
Description: SSU rRNA
Rfam family: Eukaryotic small subunit ribosomal RNA
Source: RNAcentral